Molecule: ribosomal RNA, 433 nt
Filed under: uncultured bacterium
Lineage: Bacteria
Description: partial 16S ribosomal RNA
Rfam family: Bacterial small subunit ribosomal RNA
Source: RNAcentral
AACGAACGCUGGCGGCAUGCCUAACACAUGCAAGUCGAACGAGACCUUCGGGUCUAGUGGCGCACGGGUGCGUAACGCGUGGGAACCUGCCCUUAGGUUCGGAAUAACUCCCCGAAAGGGGUGCUAAUACCGGAUAAUGUCUUCGGACCAAAGAUUUAUCGCCUUUGGAUGGGCCCGCGUUGGAUUAGCUAGUUGGUAGGGUAAAAGCCUACCAAGGCGACGAUCCAUAGCUGGUUUGAGAGGAUGAUCAGCCACACUGGGACUGAGACACGGCCCAGACUCCUACGGGAGGCAGCAGUGGGGAAUAUUGGACAAUGGGCGAAAGCCUGAUCCAGCAAUGCCGCGUGAGUGAUGAAGGCCUUAGGGUUGUAAAGCUCUUUUAACCGGGAUGAUAAUGACAGUACCGGGAGAAUAAGCUCCGGCUAACUCCGUG